Molecule: ribosomal RNA, 655 nt
Filed under: uncultured forest soil bacterium
Lineage: Bacteria
Description: bacterial SSU rRNA
Rfam family: Bacterial small subunit ribosomal RNA
Source: RNAcentral
GAACGCACCGCAAGGUGAGUGGCGCACGGGUGAGUAACGCGUGGGAACCUGCCCUGGAGUGGGGGAUAACCCGGCGAAAGCCGGGCUAAUACCGCAUACGUCCUGAGGGAGAAAGAUUUAUCGCUCUAGGAGGGGCCCGCGUCGGAUUAGCUAGUUGGUGAGGUAACGGCUCACCAAGGCGACGAUCCGUAGCUGGUCUGAGAGGAUGAUCAGCCACACUGGGUCUGAGACACGGCCCAGACUCCUACGGGAGGCAGCAGUGGGGAAUAUUGGACAAUGGGGGCAACCCUGAUCCAGCAAUGCCGCGUGAGUGAUGAAGGCCUUAGGGUUGUAAAGCUCUUUCGGCGGGGACGAUGAUGACGGUACCCGCAGAAGAAGCCCCGGCUAACUUCGUGCCAGCAGCCGCGGUAAUACGAAGGGGGCAAGCGUUGUUCGGAAUUACUGGGCGUAAAGGGCGCGCAGGCGGCCGACGUAGUCAGGCGUGAAAGCCCCGGGCUUAACCUGGGAAUUGCGUUUGAUACUCGUUGGCUGGAGUUCGGGAGAGGAUGGUGGAAUUCCCAGUGUAGAGGUGAAAUUCGUAGAUAUUGGGAAGAACACCGGUGGCGAAGGCGGCCAUCUGGACCGAAACUGACGCUGAGGCGCGAAAGCGUGGGGA